RNAcentral lists this long non-coding RNA (1234 nucleotides) under Homo sapiens (human). RNAcentral's name for it is "HSALNT0112957". The record is from RNAcentral. Lineage: Eukaryota; Metazoa; Chordata; Mammalia; Primates; Hominidae.
GGGUAGGCAUGGAGAGGGCUCCCUGGAGGAAUACCCAGCUGAGGGAUGCCCAUAAAACGAUCACACUGAAGGUCUGGGUGAUGAGGCUGCAGGCUCAAGAACAACCAUAGUAGGGCUGAGUUUGACUGGGAACACAGGAUUAUCAGUCCUCAGCCUCUCAUCUCAAUAGCUUGAAUUUGUGCUUGGUCAUUGGUAACAUGGAGUAAAAAAAUGAUUGAAGUUUCUUCAGGGAUGUGUUUCUGCCUAUCCUCUGUCAGGACCCUUGAGACACCUUUGCUGUGAAUAAUGGAGAAGCAAAAGGAGUUACUAAUGAAGACAAACUAAACCUGAGAACAGAGAGAGCCUAACUAUGUGCUCCAGAAGUGCCAUGUGUGUCUAAGGACAUCAGCAAGAUGAUGAAAAGGGAGUUUUCUACUGUCAUUCCCCAAAAGAAGCAUCAAUUUUACAACUACUCAUGGACAAGAGUAUCCUUGUAGGAAUCUAAGAGUUUAGCAAAGAAGUUUCAGCACAUUCUCAGAGCAAAAAGUUUGAGUAUGCAUACGGAGAAGAGAAGAGAAUAAGAACAGUUGCACUUUACCUGCACUUUUUCUCCCCCAAGGUGUCACAGCUCAGUGCCAAGAGAGACCUCCUUAGCCCGUUUCUCCCAUAAAGGAAAGUGAGAGUAUAGUAAAUAAACUGUCAGUUCCCUGGCUGUGUGAGAUGCUGCCCAAUAGCCCCACCUCUUUUUUGUCUUACCCAAAUUACUGAGGUGAUCGGCACAGGUGAGAGAUUGGGAGAGGGUAGAACCAGAGAAGAGAGGCCGUGGACUCUCAUAAUUGCUCCAGUGGAUUCCAUGAGGAAGUUUGUCCAUGAGGCACUCGAGAUGUCUCACCUGCGGACACCACCAAUGGCCCAAGGCCACUGCAAAUGCAUUUCAUGCUUCUCCCACCGCCUGGAUGAAAGAAGGAUAGAAAAAAGGCACACAAACUGGAGCAUCUCAAAGCACUGCUCUAAUAGGUAAUAGAAAAAUAGGUAAGUGUCCAUUGACAGAUAAAUAGAUUAAGAAAAUGUGGUGUGUAUACAUACACAAUUCCAUUGUAUAUUUACACAAUGGCAUAUUAUUCAGCCAAAAAAGGAAGAAAAUCCUGUCAUUUGUGACAACGUGGAUGAAUAUGGACAAUAUUAUACUCUAUCAUAUUGUACUAUAUUAUAAUAAGAGAAAUAAGCCAGACACUGAAAGACAAAUACUGAAUAA